This is an RNA transcript of Zea mays, 209 nucleotides long. RefSeq lists it as uncharacterized. The record is from RefSeq and is a predicted model, not a curated record. The transcript is spliced from 3 exons. NCBI's taxonomy places the organism in Eukaryota, Viridiplantae, Streptophyta, Magnoliopsida, Poales, Poaceae.
GAUCUUUGUUAAUUGCAUUUCAGUCAUUUUGCAAAUGUGUUGGUGAUGUAGAAAUGGGAAAGCUAUUAGCUCGAGAUGGGGAACAAACUGAGAAGGACAAAUGGAUCGAGCUUGUUCAGGAAAUCGCAUGCAGUUCCUCAGUAAAACGACCAAAAGAUGUUCUGCCAACUUGCGUUAUCUUGUGUAAUGCUCUCAACCGAAACCAGAGG